RNAcentral lists this unclassified non-coding RNA (358 nucleotides) under soil metagenome. Its description in RNAcentral is "partial contains 5.8S ribosomal RNA, internal transcribed spacer 2, and large subunit ribosomal RNA". The stretch from base 1 to 120 matches the Rfam family "5.8S ribosomal RNA", at positions 35 to 154 of the family's 154-position model. The record is from RNAcentral.
GAUGAAGAACGUAGCGAAAUGCGAUAAGUAAUGUGAAUUGCAGAAUUCAGUGAAUCAUCGAAUCUUUGAACGCACAUUGCGCCCGUCAGUAUUCUGGCGGGCAUGCCUGUUCGAGCGUCAUUACGCCCCUCAAGUCCCCUGUGGACUUGGUGUUGGGGAUCGGCGAGGCUGGUUUUCCAGCACAGCCGUCCCUUAAAUUAAUUGGCGGUCUCGCCGUGGCCCUCCUCUGCGCAGUAGUAAAACACUCGCAACAGGAGCCCGGCGCGGUCCACUGCCGUAAAACACCCCCACUUUUUAUAGUUGACCUCGAAUCAGGUAGGACUACCCGCUGAACUUAAGCAUAUCAAUAAGCGGAGGA